RNAcentral lists this transfer RNA (76 nucleotides) under Curvibacter sp. GWA2_64_110. Its description in RNAcentral is "tRNA-Lys". It matches the Rfam family "tRNA". From Rfam's summary of the family: Transfer RNA (tRNA) molecules are approximately 80 nucleotides in length. Their secondary structure includes four short double-helical elements and three loops (D, anti-codon, and T loops). Further hydrogen bonds mediate the characteristic L-shaped molecular structure. tRNAs have two regions of fundamental functional importance: the anti-codon, which is responsible for specific mRNA codon recognition, and the 3' end, to which the tRNAs corresponding amino acid is attached (by aminoacyl-tRNA synthetases). tRNAs cope with the degeneracy of the genetic code in two manners: having more than one tRNA (with a specific anti-codon) for a particular amino acid; and 'wobble' base-pairing, i.e. permitting non-standard base-pairing at the 3rd anti-codon position. RNAcentral also lists the same sequence under 4 other names. Lineage: Bacteria; Pseudomonadati; Pseudomonadota; Betaproteobacteria; Burkholderiales; Comamonadaceae. The record is from RNAcentral.
GGGACGUUAGCUCAGUCGGUAGAGCAGCGGACUUUUAAUCCGUUGGUCGCGUGUUCGAGUCACGCACGUCCCACCA